Molecule: ribosomal RNA, 444 nt
Filed under: uncultured bacterium
Lineage: Bacteria
Description: partial 16S ribosomal RNA
Rfam family: Bacterial small subunit ribosomal RNA
Source: RNAcentral
GUAGGGAAUAUUGGGCAAUGGUCGGAAGACUGACCCAGCCAUGCCGCGUGCAGGAAGACGGCCCUCUGGGUUGUAAACUGCUUUUAUCUGGGAAGAAAAAGGCCAUGCGUGGCAAAUUGCCGGUACCAGAUGAAUAAGCACCGACUAACUCCGUGCCAGCAGCCGCGGUAAUACGGAGGGUGCGAGCGUUGUCCGGAUUUAUUGGGUUUAAAGGGUGCGUAGGCGGCUGAUUAAGUCAGCGGUGAAAGACUUCGGCUUAACCGGAGCAGUGCCGUUGAUACUGGUUGGCUUGAGUGUCGGAGGGGUACAUGGAAUUGAUGGUGUAGCGGUGAAAUGCAUAGAUACCAUCAGGAACACCGAUAGCGAAGGCAUUGUACUGGCCGACAACUGACGCUGAUGCACGAAAGUGUGGGGAUCGAACAGGAUUAGAAACCCGGGUAGUCC